Non-coding RNA from Oryza sativa Japonica Group (Japanese rice), 2104 nucleotides. Lineage: Eukaryota; Viridiplantae; Streptophyta; Magnoliopsida; Poales; Poaceae. The record is from RefSeq and is a predicted model, not a curated record.
UUUAGCCUAUAUUUAAUACUUCAUGCAAGUGUUCAAACGUUCGAUGUGACAAAGUGAAAAAUUUUAGGGUGGGAUCUAAACAGGACCUAAAUCUCGAUCUUAUUGCUGCUUCUGUGAUAAGAAAGUUCAUAUAGUGCCAGCAGACCAUUGGGAAGGGAUGGGGCCUUCUAAUGCGAUGCCCCCUCCGUACACAAAUAUAGCAAGAGAUAGUAUUGGAUUAUAUACAUAUUAAUACUACGAAUCUACAUGAGUAGCAAAUAUUCAAGAGUUGUGACUCUGUUCAUUUUGACUAUCAAGCAUACACAUGGUAUAUUUGUAAUAAUCAACAGGUGGUGUAAAAAUUAAUAUAUAAAUUGUUGCAUUUUAAUAUAACAUUAAGCAAACGCAUAACAUUAUAAUAGCAAUGCUGUGAAAUUUUCUGAAUUAAUUACUAAUAUUGUAGUUCGGUAUGCAUAUAUUUACAGUUGUCUAUCUACCUAAAAACCAUGAAUUAUACAAGAUAGACAUUUACUAACGAUGAAUAUAUGUACAUGAAGCACAAAUGUGGAGUAUAAAACAGCCAUAAUUCUCAAAAAAAAAAAAGCCAUUCUUACCUUAGUGAAUAAACAAAUUAAUGAUUCGCUUGCAAUUAAUGGAUCCGCAAUUCGCAGUUUGAUUAUGGCAUGAUAUAUAUGCAUAUUCUUUCGGUCAUUUAUUCAAAAAAACUUGUUCGCAAAAUCAUCAGUAGUUUUGUUUUUCCAGUAGUGUCCAAAUAAAAAAAAUGAUAGAAAUUAGUUUGUCCAGAGACAACGCCACUUACCUAACUGAAAGGACCCCACUUGCGAUAAGUUGAAUUAUUAUAUGGUGAGAUAUAUAUUAGCCAAUAAGUGAUGUGUCAUUUUAGGGGUACAGUAAACCUUAUAUCUCUAAUCUAUAAUAUUAAUUAAUUAGAUAACUUUGUAAUUAACCACGUAUAUAUAUUUUUUACUGGUUAAGUGUUUAGUGGAUGCUUAACAUUUCUGCAUUUACCUCUAUAUGCUUAGAUGUUAGAUCAACUGACCAUGACACAUUCAGUGGCCGAUUGAAACGGUCGGGUUAAAGUUUAGGCACUGAUAUUCCCCACCAGUAAAUAAAAUAUUAAGUUAUUGCUAAGCAAAGCAUAAACCACUAACUUAGUGGGAAAUACUAUCGCUAGUGUAGGAUGAUUUCUGCAUAAUUUAUUAUUUCAACGACAAAGAUUGGGCCACGUAGUCAAACGAAAUCUUUAAAAUUACGAUAUUAUGACUUAUUUUAUUUUAACUUGCCACAGUAAAAAGAUGAAAAUUUGGGUGUCAUUUUGCACUAACUAGAUUCUACUGGUCCAACAGAACAAAAGGAGAACCUUUAAUUUUACAUCCCACAUGAAUGUUUUUCUAUACUAGUGUAGCAUUCACGAGCCAUUUUUUUGUAAGCUUUUCUCACUAUAUAAAGUGUAGCUGACCGAACCCGUAGCCUUCACUACACAGUUGAAUCCGAACGAAUUCUUCCUCUCCUACAGUAGUAGAGAUUUUUCCAGGCAGCUAUAGGUUUGAUCACCAUGAAGGAGAAACUGAAGGCGAGGUUUCAGAUCAUCGCCGUCUUGCUCGCCUUCGCCAUGGUAGCUCAAGCUAUGGCGAUUCGCGGCACGGGUACGACGGCGGAGCAGGAUAACACCGGAGGGAGCACGAGUGCGAAACAUACCCUGCCUCAGGCUGUUGGAAGUGGCACCUCUGUGGACAACCACCAUGCCAUCCCUCGUGAUCAGUACAGCAACCAUGGGGGUGAUGAUGGAGGUGGCAGUACUGGUACUGGUGAUACAAACAACUAGUGAGUUGAUGAUCAUGGAUGUGUGGAGAUUAAUUUCUGAGCUUGAUGUGAGGGGAGAUUUAAAUAUAUAUGUUGUGUUAAUUAAGGUACUAAGUACUGGUUGUGAUGUUGUUUUGAUAUCAGUAGCCCUAAUCCUGAGAAUAAGCUGCUUCUCUUCAUGGGGAUAGAGGAGAGCUUCUAAAUAUCAAUGUAUGCAAUAUUUCUGUUGUGUGCCAUAAGCUGUUUACUCUUAUGACAAAUUAAUUAAAUCUAUUGUCCAGAAAACGACCAGCUUAGUUCA